GCCCUGGUAGCUCAGAGGAUAGAGCAACUGCCUUCUAAGCAGUGGGUCGUGGGUUCGAUUCCCGCCCGGGGCGCCA
This 76-nucleotide transfer RNA is filed under the name Lentisphaerae bacterium ADurb.Bin242. Its description in RNAcentral is "tRNA-Arg". It matches the Rfam family "tRNA". From Rfam's summary of the family: Transfer RNA (tRNA) molecules are approximately 80 nucleotides in length. Their secondary structure includes four short double-helical elements and three loops (D, anti-codon, and T loops). Further hydrogen bonds mediate the characteristic L-shaped molecular structure. tRNAs have two regions of fundamental functional importance: the anti-codon, which is responsible for specific mRNA codon recognition, and the 3' end, to which the tRNAs corresponding amino acid is attached (by aminoacyl-tRNA synthetases). tRNAs cope with the degeneracy of the genetic code in two manners: having more than one tRNA (with a specific anti-codon) for a particular amino acid; and 'wobble' base-pairing, i.e. permitting non-standard base-pairing at the 3rd anti-codon position. The record is from RNAcentral. Lineage: Bacteria; Pseudomonadati; Lentisphaerota.